GAUGAACGCUGGCGGCGUGCCUAAUACAUGCAAGUCGAGCGAACGGACGAGAAGCUUGCUUCUCUGAUGUUAGCGGCGGACGGGUGAGUAACACGUGGAUAACCUACCUAUAAGACUGGGAUAACUUCGGGAAACCGGAGCUAAUACCGGAUAAUAUUUUGAACCGCAUGGUUCAAAAGUGAAAGACGGUCUUGCUGUCACUUAUAGAUGGAUCCGCGCUGCAUUAGCUAGUUGGUAAGGUAACGGCUUACCAAGGCAACGAUGCAUAGCCGACCUGAGAGGGUGAUCGGCCACACUGGAACUGGGACACGGUCCAGACUCCUAAGGGAGGCAGCAGUAGGGAAUCUUCCGCAAUGGGCGAAAGCCUGACGGAGCAACGCCGCGUGAGUGAUGAAGGUCUUCGGAUCGUAAAACUCUGUUAUUAGGGAAGAACAUAUGUGUAAGUAACUGUGCACAGCUUGACGGUACCUAAUCAGAAAGCCACGGCUAACUACGUG
Molecule: ribosomal RNA, 497 nt
Filed under: uncultured bacterium
Lineage: Bacteria
Description: partial 16S ribosomal RNA
Rfam family: Bacterial small subunit ribosomal RNA
Source: RNAcentral